UAUGCUUAGGGUGUGAACUUUAAAAAGAUAUGGAAGAUUGAAUCAUAUUGUUUAGACUAGUAUCAUGGUAUGACAUGUUGUAUUUUUGUGACUUGGAGUUAGGCUUGAUCGCAGUGAAAGGAUUUAAGCUACUAUAGACAUUGUAGAAAGAGCUAUCAAUGCCCAUAUGAGAAUUAUAAGUUGAAUGGAAUGAAUAUGGUAUUUAAGGGAAAUAGUAUAGUUAAGGGAGUAUUAAAGAAGUGUGCUAAGCUUG
This 253-nucleotide long non-coding RNA is filed under the name Capsicum annuum. RNAcentral's name for it is "long non-coding RNA (CANN_LNC012778)". Lineage: Eukaryota; Viridiplantae; Streptophyta; Magnoliopsida; Solanales; Solanaceae. The record is from RNAcentral.